Non-coding RNA from Rattus norvegicus (Norway rat), 403 nucleotides. The record is from RefSeq and is a predicted model, not a curated record. Lineage: Eukaryota; Metazoa; Chordata; Mammalia; Rodentia; Muridae.
GAGGAGUGGAGAUCUGAGGGACAGGAAUCUAGUGAGCUCCGGUUCUGGGGAACAUACGAGAUGAAAUGUGGAGGAGAGAGAGGACAGAGGGAACAUGCUGAAGAGACAUUCCUGCUGCAUCAAGUGGCCUCGAGGCCUAAACUUCUGUCCCCUCCCUGGAAAAUUCUCAGGCAUGGUUGAGCUCUCUCUUCAUUCCUCGGUUUCCCAGUCCACAACAAGGAAUGACCGCUGACUCAGAGCAAACUCCUUCAAGAAGAAUACAGAGACUAUGAAAAGAAGCCACCUCCAGCUGUCUGACUUUCCCUCUGCUCAUCAAAAUGGAUCUCGCUUGACAUAAACUGAGGCACAGAGGACUCAAGCAAAGCCCAUUUCAGUUUAAUAUAGGAAAGCAGGCUGGGAGGAA